GAUUCCGUAGCUCAGCUGGUAGAGCAAUACACUUUUAAUGUAUGGGCCCUGGGUUCGAAUCCCAGCGGAAUCACAA
This 76-nucleotide transfer RNA is filed under the name Bacteroidota bacterium. RNAcentral's name for it is "Bacteroidetes bacterium tRNA-Lys". It matches the Rfam family "tRNA". Rfam says of the family: Transfer RNA (tRNA) molecules are approximately 80 nucleotides in length. Their secondary structure includes four short double-helical elements and three loops (D, anti-codon, and T loops). Further hydrogen bonds mediate the characteristic L-shaped molecular structure. tRNAs have two regions of fundamental functional importance: the anti-codon, which is responsible for specific mRNA codon recognition, and the 3' end, to which the tRNAs corresponding amino acid is attached (by aminoacyl-tRNA synthetases). tRNAs cope with the degeneracy of the genetic code in two manners: having more than one tRNA (with a specific anti-codon) for a particular amino acid; and 'wobble' base-pairing, i.e. permitting non-standard base-pairing at the 3rd anti-codon position. RNAcentral also lists the same sequence under 1 other name. Lineage: Bacteria; Pseudomonadati; Bacteroidota. The record is from RNAcentral.